This 636-nucleotide long non-coding RNA is filed under the name Nicotiana benthamiana. RNAcentral describes it as "long non-coding RNA (NBEN_LNC026576)". The record is from RNAcentral. Lineage: Eukaryota; Viridiplantae; Streptophyta; Magnoliopsida; Solanales; Solanaceae.
CGUUUAAGUCCAGUUCCAAUCUGGAUAUAAAAGUCAAGUUCAAUCGUCGAAAGUGAGAUCUCUUUUAGUCCGGUCUUCUUUUCUCUUUUGAGUCAGGUUCUUAAGACAGGAAAUCGGGUUUUCUGAAUAUCUCUCUUCCGGCCUAUGUUGUAAGUUAGUUAGUUAGAGAUCGAAACUGGACCUGAGAGAGACUAGACUUCUAGUAAGAGUAGGUGCGCCUUAAGUUGAGGAGAGCUGUUCAGCUAUGUUGUAAGUUAGUUAGUUAGAGAUAGAAACUGGACCCCUUUGAGCCAGAAAGCGUACCGGCUGUUUGAGUCGAGAAACGGCGGCAGCGGCGCGAGGAGUUAACGACCGGACGUGCUGCAACCUAGGGAUCACCAGGCAGCCCUUUCGCUCUAUAGGGAUCGGGGGGGCAUAGCACAAUUCUUCUUGGAGGAGGGUUGUUUGCCCGGGUGACUGAUCCUGCCAUAAUGUACUUCUACCUAUUAUAGCACCGGCAACCGAAGUCGAGCAUACAUACGACGAUCUUCAUGCGUGAAUAGCCGGGAGGAAAGAAAGGGCGGUAGAUGAUAAUGAGAAAGGGCGCCGCGUCUGGACGGGCGGAAUGGAUGAGCGAAAGGUGUCAUGCCAUGAUCU